Molecule: ribosomal RNA, 448 nt
Filed under: uncultured bacterium
Lineage: Bacteria
Description: SSU rRNA
Rfam family: Bacterial small subunit ribosomal RNA
Source: RNAcentral
AGAACGAACGCUGGCGGCAGGCUUAACACAUGCAAGUCGAACGCUCGUAGCAAUACGGGAGUGGCAGACGGGUGAGUAACGCGUGGGAACAUACCCUCCGGUUCGGAAUAGCUCAGGGAAACUUGGAUUAAUACCGGAUACGGCCGAGAGGCGAAAGAUUUAUCGCCGGAGGAUUGGCCCGCGUUCGAUUAGCUAGUUGGUGAGGUAAUGGCUCACCAAGGCGAUGAUCGAUAGCUGGUCUGAGAGGAUGAUCAGCCACAUUGGGACUGAGACACGGCCCAAACUCCUACGGGAGGCAGCAGUGGGGAAUAUUGGACAAUGGGCGCAAGCCUGAUCCAGCCAUGCCGCGUGAGUGAUGAAGGCCCUAGGGUUGUAAAGCUCUUUGUGCGGGAAGAUAAGUGACGGUACCGCAAGAAUAAGCCCCGGCUAACUUCGUGCCAGCAGCCGC